Non-coding RNA from Paramuricea clavata, 301 nucleotides. The record is from the annotation of a GenBank genome assembly. NCBI's taxonomy places the organism in Eukaryota, Metazoa, Cnidaria, Anthozoa, Malacalcyonacea, Plexauridae.
GGUACAUCACAAGGUCUUGUGGCUGCGAAAUCGCGAUUGGCCAAGAAAAACCUAACCAUACCUCGUCUGGAACUGGUUUCGGCGCACAUGGCCACCAACUUAGUCCAUAAUGUUCGAGAAGCGUUGGUGGGAUUCCCCGUGAACCAAGUAUUCGGCUGGUUGGACAGCACAGUAGCUCUUCAUUGGAUACGCGGAGGGGGAGAUUUCAAACAGUUCGUGGGAAAUCGUGUGCGCAAGAUUCAAGAGAAAGAUUACAUCCAAUGGAACCACGUCCCGACCAAAGAAAAUCCGGCCGACCUUG